UCCCAUUUCCUGAUGGGAGGUAUGGAGAGAUAAAAGACGUAUUUUUGGAUGGUGCAAAAGGAGAAGGGGAGAAGGACAUGGAGUAUUUCUUUCACACUUGGUUCUCUCUCAUUCACCAGCUUCAUCCCGCCGCCAUUAUAUUUUCUGAUGCUGGUCUUGACACUAGGUGGGUUGGGAAUGAACUUGGUCUUGGUGCCUCUACUUGUUGGUCUAUUUACAACUCCACUCUCACUCCAAUUGGUGGCAUUUACAAUGAUCCUCAAUAUGCGGCCGAGGGAGAUCCGGCUGGUCAUGAGUGGGUACCUGCCCUCUGUGAUGUCUCAAUCAGACCUGGUUGGUUUUUGGCAUCCUUUAGAACUUCCAAAGUCUGCAAUCAAUCUGCUUGAAAUAUACUAUUAAGUCGGUUGGUCGAAAUUGUCACUUGCUACUCAAUGUGCCUCCAAACUUGUUGGGUCUCAUUUCACCCGAGGAUAUCCAAGUUCUUCAAGAGUUCACUGAACUCAGAAGAUCCAUAUUCUCCAACAAUUUCGCUAUAAAUGCGCUUCUUCAAGCCAGCAGCACGCGAGGAGAAGGAGGAGGAGGAGGAGGAACUUGUGAUUCACAGUUUAGUAGUGGAGGAAAUACUUUUACACCCAACACUGCAAACAUAAGUGGCAGAGGCUUCUUAGGUGCUCCAAGAAGCCCCUUCUCUACCCAGCGGAGUCAACAAUGUUCCCGAAUUCAACUUCUAAGCAGCCAUCCUUUGGCUUCAAUGACUUGAGCUCCACUCCAAUGUUUCAGACUACACCAGAUGUUCAAUCUCCAAGCAUGUCCCAAGGAGAGAAUGUUUCCACAGAUCUCAGUAUUUGGUUAAAAGAGAAAUGGAAUCCUGGAGAGAUUCCCGAAGAAGCUCCUCCAGAUUCAGUUGUUCGGUAGAAAUUCACAAACAUAGCGCUCUGUACUAUGUUAACAAGAUUCAACAGUGAUGUUAGUUGUAUUUUUAUUAUGUUUGAUUAUGUCAGAUCAAUAGCAUAUCAAAAAUUGCUCUGGCUUUAGGAUAGUUGAUUUAUAUCAAUUGAUUUUGCAAAGAGCCGAGUGAAUAUUCAAAGGCCUUUAAUGUAAUUCAUAACUGUUAAAAUAUUCUGAUCUCAUUUUGAGCCAGAAUCAUAAAAUAUAUAGUUCUUACAUUGGA
Molecule: non-coding RNA, 1171 nt
Organism: Arachis ipaensis
Lineage: Eukaryota; Viridiplantae; Streptophyta; Magnoliopsida; Fabales; Fabaceae
Source: RefSeq, a predicted model, not a curated record